GAUGAACGCUGACAGAAUGCUUAACACAUGCAAGUCCACUUGAACUUCGGUUUGGGUGGCGGACGGGUGAGUAACGCGUAAAGAACUUGCCUCACAGAUAGGGACAACAUUUGGAAACGAAUGCUAAUACCUGAUAUUAUGAUUAUAUGGCAUCGUAUAAUUAUGAAAGCUAUAUGCGCUGUGAGAGAGCUUUGCGUCCCAUUAGCUAGUUGGAGAGGUAACGGCUCACCAAGGCGAUGAUGGGUAGCCGGCCUGAGAGGGUGAUCGGCCACAAGGGGACUGAGACACGGCCCUUACUCCUACGGGAGGCAGCAGUGGGGAAUAUGGGACAAUGGACCAAGAGUCUGAUCCAGCAAUUCUGUGUGCACGAUGAAGUUUUUCGGAAUGUAAAGUGCUUUCAGUUGGGAAGAAAAAAAUGACGGUACCAACAGAAGAAGUGACGGCUAAAUACGUG
RNAcentral lists this ribosomal RNA (454 nucleotides) under uncultured bacterium. RNAcentral describes it as "partial 16S ribosomal RNA". It matches the Rfam family "Bacterial small subunit ribosomal RNA", at positions 28 to 507 of the family's 1533-position model. The record is from RNAcentral.